UAGAUACCCUGGUAGUCCACGCUGUAAACGAUGUCGAUUUGGAGUUUGUUGCCUAGAGUGAUGGGCUCCGAAGCUAACGCGAUAAAUCGACCGCUGGGGAGUACGGCCGCAAGGUUAAAACUCAAAUGAAUUGACGGGGGCCCGCACAAGCGGUGGAGCAUGUGGUUUAAUUCGAUGCAACGCGAAGAACCUUACCUGGUCUUGACAUCCAUAGAAUUCUGCAGAGAUGUGGGAGUGCCUUCGGGAACUAUGAGACAGGUGCUGCAUGGCUGUCGUCAGCUCGUGUUGUGAAAUGUUGGGUUAAGUCCCGCAACGAGCGCAACCCUUAUUCUUUGUUGCCAGCGAUUUGGUCGGGAACUCAAAGGAGACUGCCGUUGAUAAAGCGGAGGAAGGUGGGGACGACGUCAAGUCAUCAUGGCCCUUACGACCAGGGCUACACACGUGCUACAAUGGCGUAUACAAAGGGAAGCGAAGGUGCGAGCUGGAGCGGAUCUCAUAAAGUACGUCUAAGUUCGGAUUGGAGUCUGCAACUCGACUCCAUGAAGUCGGAAUCGCUAGUAAUCGUAGAUCAGAAUGCUACGGUGAAUACGUUCCCGGGCCUUGUACACACCGCCCGUCACACCAUGGGAGUGGGUUGCACCAGAAGUAGAUAGCUUAACCGCGAGGGGGGCGUUUACCACGGUGUGAUUCAUGACUGGGGUGAAGUCGUAACAAGGUAACCA
RNAcentral lists this ribosomal RNA (722 nucleotides) under uncultured Enterobacteriaceae bacterium. RNAcentral describes it as "bacterial SSU rRNA". It matches the Rfam family "Bacterial small subunit ribosomal RNA", at positions 779 to 1502 of the family's 1533-position model. The record is from RNAcentral. Lineage: Bacteria; Pseudomonadati; Pseudomonadota; Gammaproteobacteria; Enterobacterales; Enterobacteriaceae.